CCGCGCCGCGCCCGCGCCCAGCGGUCCCUCCCUCCGGCGUGACGGGAGCACGGGCGCCGGCCGCCCGGGCCGCGAGCGCAGCAGAGCUGACAGCGGGCAGCCGGGCAGGGGGCGAGCGAGUGGCGAGCCGAGCGCGCAGCACUCGCGGUCCGGGAGCCGGAGCGCGCCCCACUCGGGGAGGCUGCCUUCUUGCCGGCCGGCGGGCCGACCACAGCGGGACGGAGAUGCUGCUCCUCCGCCCAGGGCCGACGCGGGGGAGGGGCCGGGGGCGGCCAGCCGGGGCUCUCCGCUGCGGACUCUCGCCUCCCUGGAGCCCCGCCUGGAUCUGCUGUUGGGCGCUCGCCGGCUGUCAAGCGGCCUGGGCUGGGGACCUGCCCUCCUCCUCCGGCCGCCCGCUUCCUCCUUGCCUGGAGGAAGAUUACCACUUUGAAUAUACAGAAUGUGAUAGCAGUGGCUCCAGAUGGAGAGUUGCCAUUCCGAAUUCUGCAGUGGACUGCUCUGGCCUGCCUGACCCAGUGAGAGGCAAAGAAUGCACUUUCUCCUGUGCUUCUGGGGAGUAUCUAGAAAUGAAGAAUCAGGUAUGCAGUAAGUGUGGUGAAGGCACCUACUCCUUGGGCAGUGGCAUCAAAUUUGAUGAAUGGGAUGAAUUGCCGGCAGGAUUUUCCAACGUUGCAACAUUCAUGGACACUGUGGUCGGCCCUUCUGACAGCAGGCCAGAUGGCUGUAACAACUCUUCCUGGGUCCCUCGUGGAAAUUACAUAGAGUCCAAUCGUGAUGACUGCACGGUAUCCUUGAUCUACGCUGUGCACCUUAAGAAGUCGGGCUAUGUUUUCUUUGAGUACCAGUAUGUGGACAACAACAUCUUCUUUGAGUUCUUUAUUCAAAAUGAUCAGUGCCAGGAGAUGGACACCACUGCUGACAAGUGGGUAAAACUCACCGACAGUGGAGUAUGGGGCUCUCAUUCUGUAAUGUUGAAAUCAGGCACAAACAUACUGUACUGGAGAACUACAGGCAUCCUUAUGGGUUCCAAGGCCGUCAAGCCAGUGUUGGUAAAAAAUAUCACAAUUGAAGGGGUGGCAUACACAUCGGAAUGCUUUCCAUGCAAGCCUGGCACCUUCAGCGACGAACCAGGUUCAUUCAUCUGCCAAGUUUGUCCCAGAAACACCUAUUCUGAGAAAGGAGCCAAAGAAUGCAUCAAGUGUGACGUGGACUCCCAGUUUUCAGAAGAAGGAUCCAGCAAGUGUACGGAGCGUCCUCCCUGUACCACAAAAGACUAUUUCCAGAUCCACACUCCAUGUGAUGAGGAAGGAAAGACGCAGGUAAUGUACAAGUGGAUAGAGCCCAAAAUCUGCCGGGAGGAUCUCACAGAUGCUAUUAGGUUGCCCCCUUCUGGAGAGAAGAAGGAUUGUCCACCUUGCAACCCUGGAUUUUAUAACAAUGGAUCUUCUUCUUGCCAUCCCUGCCCUCCUGGAACGUUUUCGGAUGGAACAAAGGAAUGUAGACCAUGUCCAGCAGGAACAGAGCCUGCCCUUGGGUUUGAAUAUAAAUGGUGGAAUGUCCUUCCUGGCAACAUGAAAACCUCCUGCUUCAAUGUUGGGAAUUCAAAGUGUGACGGAAUGAAUGGUUGGGAGGUGGCUGGAGAUCAUAUCCAGAGUGGGGCUGGAGGUUCCGAUAAUGAUUACCUGAUCUUAAACUUGCAUAUCCCAGGAUUUAAACCACCGACAUCAAUGACGGGAGCCAUGGGCUCUGAACUGGGAAGAAUAACCUUUGUGUUUGAGACCCUCUGUUCAGCCGACUGUAUUCUGUACUUCAUGGUGGAUAUUAAUAGAAAAAGUACCAACGUGGUCGAAUCAUGGGGUGGAACCAAAGAAAAACAAGCUUACACCCAUGUCAUCUUCAAGAAUGCCACAUUUACAUUUACAUGGGCAUUUCAGAGGACCAAUCAGGGUCAAGAUAAUAGACGGUUCAUCAAUGACAUGGUGAAGAUUUAUUCUAUCACUGCCGCUAAUGCAGUUGAUGGGGUGGCGUCCUCGUGCCGUGCCUGUGCCCUCGGUUCUGAACAGUUGGGCUCAUCGUGUGUCCCCUGCCCCCCAGGCCACUACAUUGAGAAAGAAACCAACCAGUGCAAGGAGUGUCCACCUGACACCUACCUGUCCAUACAUCAGGUCUAUGGCAAGGAGGCUUGUAUUCUAUGUGGGCCUGGGAGUAGAAGCACUCAGGACCACUCAGUUUGCUACAGUGACUGCUUUUUCUACUAUGAAAAAGAAAAUCAGAGUUUGCACUAUGACUUCAGCAACCUCAGCAGUGUGGGCUCCUUAAUGAAUGGUCCCAGCUUUACCUCCAAAGGAACAAAAUACUUCCAUUUCUUCAAUAUCAGUCUAUGUGGGCAUGAGGGGAAGAAGUUGGCUGUCUGCACCAACAAUAUAACCGACUUCACAGUAAAGGAAGUGGUGGCAGGGCCAGAUGAUUAUACGAACCUGGUAGGAGCAUUUGUAUGUCAGUCAACUAUUAUUCCUUCUGAAAGUAAGGGCUUCCGAGCAGCCUUAUCAUCACAGUCCAUCAUUCUGGCAGAUGUAUUUUUAGGAGUGACUGUUGAAACCACAUUGCAAAAUAUUAAUAUAAAAGAAGAUAUGUUCCCAGUUUCACCAAGCCAAACGCCAGAUGUGCAUUUCUUUUAUAAGUCUUCUACAACUACAACCUCUUGUGUUAAAGGCCGAUCAACUGCUGUGAAAAUGAGGUGUAAUCCUGCUAAACCGGGAGCUGGAACCAUUUCAGUACCCAGCAAGUGUCCAGCAGGUACCUGUGAUGGAUGCACAUUCUAUUUCCUGUGGGAGAGUGCUGAAGCUUGCCCUCUGUGCACAGAGCAUGACUUCCAUGAGAUUGAGGGUGCCUGUAAGAGGGGAUUUCAGGAAACCUUAUACGUGUGGAAUGAACCUAAGUGGUGCAUUAAAGGAAUUUCUUUGCCUGAGAAAAAGUUGUCAACCUGCGAAACAGUUGACUUUUGGCUAAAAGUGGGAGCAGGUGUGGGAGCUUUUACAGCUGUUUUGCUGGUGGCUCUAACUUGCUACUUCUGGAAAAAGAAUCAGAAACUGGAGUACAAGUAUUCCAAAUUAGUAAUGACCACAAACUCAAAGGAGUGUGAACUCCCAGCUGCAGACAGCUGUGCUAUCAUGGAAGGAGAAGAUAAUGAAGAGGAAGUUGUAUAUUCCAAUAAACAGUCGCUACUGGGAAAACUCAAAUCCUUGGCAACAAAGGACAAAGAAGACCAUUUUGAAUCUGUUCAACUGAAAUCCUCAAGAUCUCCCAAUAUAUGAAAGACAGUGCUGUAGCCUUCAGACUAAUGAACAAAGAAACCUGCUCUCUAGUUUUACAGGACCAUAGUUUAGAGCCUGUCCUCAUAUCCGGCACAUUGGUGAUGUCACAGAGGAGGGCCAUGCCGCUGAAAAGGGAAGGAGGUUGAAAUGUUAGAUUGCCUUAUAACAUGGUCAAGUGUCUUGCCAAAAAUAAGAAAGCAAAUGUUUUGAGUCUCAACUGAAGAUGAAGCUCAACUCAGGAAGAGAUUUAUCUGUAUAUACAAAUAACUCAAAACCAAGGCUAAGCCCACGAGUGCACUGCUGAUGCAUGCCAUAUAAUUAAUGGGGUAUCCUUGUUGAUUUCAGAAGCCUAAGUAAGCAGUAAUUCUUAAUGAAGAGUCAGCAUGUGCUUGGGUUAUCUAACUUAUAAUCGCCUUUGAAAUCCCAUCCUUGUUGGAACUGGUAAGAAGGGCUUGACUGAAAGUGGGAUUCUUAAAAAAAAAAAAAAAAAAAAAGGAUAAGGAGAAGCCUUGACUUUCCACUGGUACAAACAAGCUGACACCAUUAUAAAAGUCAAAUGGCUUGAAAGAAUUUAUGUAAUACUUGAAGUAUAAUUUAGAAUGAGUAGGAAAGCUUGUUUAUCAGAUCACUUGCAAAAUCAUGAGAAGAAAGUGGGCUGGCUUGUCUAUAAGUACAGACAGCUGUACAAAGGUAUUGGGAUAAUUUCAUGGUCUCCAGAAAACGACAGUGGGACAUUUACCCUAUGUCAAGCAUCAAAGGUUAUAUGUUUAUUUUCCUGCCAAAGACUUUAAGGAUUAUGACUUCCAUGAAGGUUUUCUUUUUAAGUUAGCAGGGCAGGGAUUGAAUUUUAGAAAAUCGCAUAUAACUGUAUUCAGAAUAAGAAUGUGGUUGUGUCCCAUAAGCAGUUAUGAAAUAAGUGUUGCUGCUCUUAUUCAAAAAUGAUCCAGGUAAUUGUGAUAUUUCCUAUGAUGGACGGGUUAUAUUGGUAUUAGUGCGACUUAAAUACUGUUGGUUGAAAGAAGUUUGAAUGAAGCUGGAUUUGACCAAUUUUGUGUAAAAAUUGUUUUAGAAGUGGGAAAGAGAGGAGUUUCCUGACCAUUUAUAAUCUAAGGUGCUCUGGUUUGUUUCCAAUAAACAGUGAUCUUUAUAGGUUUUAAUCCAUAUUUUUUGAAAGCCUGGUCAUUGGCCGAGAGAGGCAGGGCAUAGGGGCAGGGUUUGUUGAAUGUUUUGCCCCAAGUCUGUCAAUGAGGUAUGACUUGUAACUUUUGAUUCAGCAGGUCGUCCUUAGUUUUGUGGCAAAUGAGAUAAAAAUAAAUAAUUGAAUUUAUUUGACUGGUGGGUAAAACACUGGACCAUUCUGUUAUUGUUGAGUGAAUGUUUGUUUUGUGUACAUCACUACUGUUGGAUUCGUGAGUAUAGGUGAGGUUGCCGUUGUUUUAUUGUUUGUUGUGAAAUUCACGGAGGGCAUUGCUUUACAUAAACGUCUUCCACGUUUAAUUUCUUAAAUUCUAUUAUAACGAAGAAAUUAUUUUGGCAUUGCUCAUUUUUAUCCUGCCAACAGUGCUGAUGACCCUUUCCCCACCUUGAUCAAAAUUUAAACAGAAGAAAGAAAAUACACUUGAAGUGCACCCUUUUAGAGGAACCCUGGCAAAGUCAUACAGACUGGACAGAGUCAGGAAGUUUCCGCAUAGUCAUCUGUCACCUCUCUCUUCAUCUUUGCUGUGCUCAACGUGUACGUUCCAAGCCAUAGAGAUAAUUGGGAUUUGCUCCCAGGUAGCUUCUUUAUUCUCCUGUCACUGGACUAAAAUCUCUGACGUGUCAAAAAUGCCUUAAAUUUUAAUGAACUCUCUGAAAAU
Non-coding RNA from Delphinapterus leucas (beluga whale), 5170 nucleotides. NCBI's taxonomy places the organism in Eukaryota, Metazoa, Chordata, Mammalia, Artiodactyla, Monodontidae. The record is from RefSeq and is a predicted model, not a curated record.